RNAcentral lists this long non-coding RNA (421 nucleotides) under Homo sapiens (human). RNAcentral's name for it is "long non-coding RNA NONHSAT066817". Lineage: Eukaryota; Metazoa; Chordata; Mammalia; Primates; Hominidae. The record is from RNAcentral.
GUGGGCAGCCGGACGUACCCUGGCAGGGAGCAGCAGGUGGCGGCGGUGCAUGGGGCCUGGCCCCACCAGCGGGCACUGGCCCACAGCCACGGCCGGGGGGCCAUCUAGCUGGAGAGAGAAGGGACAGCAACUCCAUCCGCUCCUGCAACUGCCGGACGUGUGCCUCUAGGUCCCGGUUCCGAGCCUCUGCCUCGCGUAGUUGACUGUGGGGAGGUAAGGACGGAACAAAUCAGGAUUCCCACCUGCCCAAGGCCUUUGCCCUGGAGGCUCUCGCCUGACCACUUGGCACCUUUCCUUCCAUGGCUUGUUUCUCCUUCACCAGCGCUCAGCUCAAAGAUCGACUUCUCAGAUCCCCAGCAACACACACACCCUUACUUAAUGCCCCACUGUAACUACAGAGACCGUCCCAUGUCUGAAGUAA